GACGAACGCUGGCGGCGUGCCUAAUACAUGCAAGUAGAGCGCUGAAGGAGGAGCUUGCUUCUCUGGAUGAGUUGCGAACGGGUGAGUAACGCGUAGGUAACCUGCCUGGUAGCGGGGGAUAACUAUUGGAAACGAUAGCUAAUACCGCAUAAGAGUAGAUGUUGCAUGACAUUUACUUAAAAGGUGCAAUUGCAUCACUACCAGAUGGACCUGCGUUGUAUUAGCUAGUUGGUGAGGUAACGGCUCACCAAGGCAACGAUACAUAGCCGACCUGAGAGGGUGAUCGGCCAAACUGGGACUGAGACACGGCCCAGACUCCUACGGGAGGCAGCAGUAGGGAAUCUUCGGCAAUGGACGGAAGUCUGACCGAGCAACGCCGCGUGAGUGAAGAAGGUUUUCGGAUCGUAAAGCUCUGUUGUAAGAGAAGAACGAGUGUGAGAGUGGAAAGUUCACACUGUGACGGUAUCUUACCAGAAAGGGACGGCUAACUACGUG
This 495-nucleotide ribosomal RNA is filed under the name uncultured bacterium. RNAcentral's name for it is "partial 16S ribosomal RNA". It matches the Rfam family "Bacterial small subunit ribosomal RNA", at positions 28 to 507 of the family's 1533-position model. The record is from RNAcentral.